AGGACAUAAUGAAUGAUGAAUGGAUGAGGAUGGAUAGUAAAACUUCUUAGAAGGUUCACUUCUUGAAAUCAUAUAGCAGAUGAUUCAAGUGUGUCCUUUGGAAUAGCAAUGGAUAAUAACAAACAAGCAAAGCAAGCAAAAGCGGAUAUCGGAUGCCAAUCAAUGGUCUUAUACCAAUCUCCUAAAACAAAACGGGAUAUCAGAUGC
Molecule: long non-coding RNA, 207 nt
Filed under: Lathyrus oleraceus (garden pea)
Lineage: Eukaryota; Viridiplantae; Streptophyta; Magnoliopsida; Fabales; Fabaceae
Description: Pisum sativum (pea) long non-coding RNA (PSAT_LNC017220)
Source: RNAcentral